This 432-nucleotide ribosomal RNA is filed under the name Triticum aestivum (bread wheat). RNAcentral's name for it is "partial small subunit ribosomal RNA". The record is from RNAcentral. Lineage: Eukaryota; Viridiplantae; Streptophyta; Magnoliopsida; Poales; Poaceae.
AUGAGUCGUUCUGAUGGCAUCAACAUCCCCGAUGGAAAGUUCUACCUAGGAGAUGCUGGCUGUCGGCCAGGUAUUCUUCCACCCUUCAGGAAAACCAGGUACCGUUUCAACGACUUCGCUGGUAGGAACUAUCCUAGGACUCCAGAGGAGUUGUUCAAUCUCGAACACUCCAGCCUUAGAGUUACUAUUGAGAGGGCCUUUGUAGCUCUAAAGAACAAGUUUAAGAUGCUAAAUCAGAAGCCAUUCCACAUUUCCCCCACUCAGGUUAAGCUUGUUCUUACUUGUUGCAUUCUGAAUAACUGGAUCCUGCAAUGGGGUGUUGAUGAACUGGUGCCUGAGGAGGAAGCUGUGAUGCAUGACGAUGUUGUCAGUUCCCUCAUGCAGCUAACGUAUAUAUGGGCAACCAAACUAUAUGCAGACGGUGGUUUAUAG